Molecule: non-coding RNA, 2234 nt
Organism: Oncorhynchus mykiss (rainbow trout)
Lineage: Eukaryota; Metazoa; Chordata; Actinopteri; Salmoniformes; Salmonidae
Source: RefSeq, a predicted model, not a curated record
GGUAGAGAGAGGAAAACGGGGGAAAGAGGUAUUUAUGACUGUCAUAAACCUACCCCCAGGUCAACGUCAUGACAGGGGUAUACUACAAAACAAGAUCAAGAAGUUAGCCAGCUAACUUGUCUAAAUAUUCUAAAAUCACUUAUUUUUUUGAAAGAUGAGCUUGAAAUGGGUAUGGUUGAAUUGACCCAACAGCAAAAAAACACAUCUAGGUGGAUCUUUCAUAAUGAACCAGAAAAUGGACAGUUAUUUCUGUAUAUAUUUAUCAAAGUUAGCUGGCUAACUCCUUGAUCCUGCUUUGUAGUAUACCCCUCAGGUCCCUGUGGACAAACAGAGGCUGAUCUACAGGGGUAGGCAGCUUGAAGAUGGCAAGACACUGGAACACUGACAUCAAAAAAGGCCCUAAAUGAGACCUAUUUGGAGAAAGCAGACAAACUCUACUCCCUAAUGACUGCCGUAACAGACAAGUGUGUGUUUGUCAAUGGUGAGAACACCAAGGUGCGCGUGUCAGAGCUGGAGGAGGAAGUGAGGGCGCUGAAGAAGGUCAACAAGGACCUGUAUGACUUCUCCACACAGCUCCUCACCAAGCCCAGCUAGAAAAGAGCCUGGCCAUGGUUCCCCGUCCCACCAGCAGGGACUCUACUGGGGAGAUGACACUGCAAGCCCCCUUCACCACAGACCGGUAGGCUAGGGAAAGAUGUUAGUAUGUGUCAUUCAUAUAGUUUAUUUUGUAAGGGAGAGCGUACAUUCAACAGGACCUGGGGUGCAAAAGUUGUAUCAUGGACCAUAUUGCCUUUGUCAUGAUCCCUGACCAUAUUUUGGAUAAAGGAUUUAAUUUAAAUUGACAUGAAGAAAACAUGUUCACCUUUUUUAGUGCUACACAUGUUCAGUGUUAGCCACAGGAUAAUCAAAGUUGUGUAGUGCAGCCAGACUCAGCAGCAUAAUUGAUCUUAGCCCUAUAUUGACUUAACAGAAGCUCCAGUCCCUUGACAACCUCAAUUUACAGCCCUGUUCCUUUACACUCAUCACCACUGCCUUUAAGCCCCAAAAUUCCAUCAGCCAAAAACGGGUAUAACAGGAUCCAGUUAUUGCCCUCUGACUUUUUGUCCUCUGUCAUCCGGCUAACCCAGUAAGAAUCCCAAACUUAAGGUUAAGGUUAGGGCUCUACAGUGCGACCAUUUUACUGCGCCUAAAUAUUUUGCUGUGCGACCUGGAAUUUGUAUUUUAUGAGCACCAGUGUGCCCAGAAAAAUGUAGGAUUCUAGCUUUAAUAUCUGAAAUGUUUUUCAUUGUGCUCUUAAAUUUCUUUGUGCGCCUACAUUUUUCUACUACACCUAAUAGAUUGGAUGGAUUUGUGUGACAAUUACCUGUUGUGCCCCCAGGUGUUUAGCAUCGACGAGAAUGUUCAUUUCUGUCACAAAAUGGGUACAGUUUGAUCGCCAUGGUUGGUAGGUACCCUUCACGCUAUCUCUCAAGCAGAACUUUAAACCUCUCAUUAAAAUAGAAAGAAAAUGGUGGUGUUAAAUAGGGAACAGUGGAGUGUUUGAUUUACCCUGUGGAACUAGCCAGAAGUCUGUGAGUUUUGUUUUUCAGCUUACACUACCUGUAGAAAACAUGGAUUUGGUUGUGUAGAGCUGCUGGGCAGUGUACAACUGCAGAAUGGUUUUCUUUUCAGAAUCCUUCAAAAAGAAACGCACAAUUAACCGCUGUCAAAAAGGGAAGAGUUUGAGCUCUGAAAUCGCCCUUCCUCUCAUCACUGCUAAUUCUCCACUGUGGGCACUACGUUAGAGGCAGCCACAUAGAAACAGCUGUUGAUUUUAUCCUCUUUUUCUCAGUUGCCCAGCUUUGAUGAGAUCUAAAAAAUGAAAUAGAAAAUCAAAAAGGGUCCUGUAUUUGUGUGUGCCUCUUCGGUAGAGAGGGAACUGCCAAGAACAGCAGCCCUCCUGUGUAGAGAAAGCCAUGGCUUUAGAACUUCACCAAGGAGAGAGAUGACUUACACACACCCCAACGUUGACUCCAAUUAACUCACUGUUGGGGGGUGGGGAUCAGGUCAGCGAGAUGGAGCUAUUGAGGACCUUGAUCACAGAUUAAUCGGAGAGUCCAAGGGUGAAGAGUGUUCAGUGGGGGGAUUACGUGUUCCAGUAAUGAAGACAACAAUACCAACUGGAUUUGUACUUUUUUGUUGUUGUUGUGUAUUCUCCACAAUAAAUGUUUUUAUAUCUUUCUGAGAACAUGGGA